GACGAACGCUGGCGGCGUGCUUAACACAUGCAAGUCGAACGGAAAGGCCCUGCUUUUGUGGGGUGCUCGAGUGGCGAACGGGUGAGUAACACGUGAGUAACCUGCCCUUGACUUUGGGAUAACUUCAGGAAACUGGGGCUAAUACCGGAUAGGAGCUCCUGCUGCAUGGUGGGGGUUGGAAAGUUUCGGCGGUUGGGGAUGGACUCGCGGCUUAUCAGCUUGUUGGUGGGGUAGUGGCUUACCAAGGCUUUGACGGGUAGCCGGCCUGAGAGGGUGACCGGCCACCUUGGGCCUGCGGUACGGCCCAGACUCCUACGGGAGGCAGCGGUGGGGAAUCUUGCCCAGUGGGCGGAAGCCUGAUGCAGCAACGCCGCGUGCGGGAUGACGGCCUUCGGGUUGUAAACCGCUUUCGCCUGUGACGAAGCGUGAGUGACGGUAAUGGGUAAAGAAGCACCGGCUAACUACGUG
RNAcentral lists this ribosomal RNA (468 nucleotides) under uncultured bacterium. RNAcentral's name for it is "partial 16S ribosomal RNA". It matches the Rfam family "Bacterial small subunit ribosomal RNA", at positions 28 to 507 of the family's 1533-position model. The record is from RNAcentral.